GGCAGCCCUUAUACAUGCAAGUCGAACGAGAAAGUUCCUUCGGGAGCGAGUAAAGUGGCGGACGGGUGAGUAACGCGUAGGAAUCUACCUUUCAGUGGGGGAUAGCUCGGGGAAACUCGAAUUAAUACCGCAUACACCCUUCGGGGGAAAGAGGGCCUCUCCUUGGAAGCUCUCGCUGUUAGAUGAGCCUGCGUGAGAUUAGCUUGUUGGUAAGGUAAUGGCUUACCAAGGCUACGAUCUCUAGCUGGUCUGAGAGGACGAUCAGCCACACUGGGACUGAGACACGGCCCAGACUCCUACGGGAGGCAGCAGUAGGGAAUAUUGGACAAUGGGGGCAACCCUGAUCCAGGCAUGCCGCGUGUGUGAAGAAGGCCUUAGGGUUGUAAAGCACUUUAAGUGAGGAAGAAAAGAUUUAAAUUAAUACUUUAAGUCCCUGACAUUACUCACAGAAUAAGGACCGGCUAACUCCGUGCCAGCAGCCGCGGUAAUACGGAGGGUCCAAGCGUUAAUCGGAAUUACUGGGCGUAAAGCGCGCGUAGAUGGUUUAUUCAGUUGGGUGUGAAAUCCCUGGGCUCAACCCAGGAACUGCAUUCAAAACUUAUAAACUAGAGUACGAAAGAGGAGAGUAGAAUUCAUGGUGUAGCGGUGAAAUGCGUAGAGAUCAUGAGGAAUACCAGUGGCGAAGGCGACUCUCUGGUUCGAGACUGACAUUGAGGUGCGAAAGCGUGGGUAGCAAACAGGAUUAGAUACCCUGGUAGUCCACGCCGUAAACGAUGAGAACUAGCCGUUGGAUCUUUAGAUUCAGUGGCGCAGCUAACGCAUUAAGUUCUCCGCCUGGGGAGUACGGCC
RNAcentral lists this ribosomal RNA (849 nucleotides) under uncultured Gammaproteobacteria bacterium. RNAcentral's name for it is "bacterial SSU rRNA". It matches the Rfam family "Bacterial small subunit ribosomal RNA", at positions 41 to 887 of the family's 1533-position model. The record is from RNAcentral. Lineage: Bacteria; Pseudomonadati; Pseudomonadota; Gammaproteobacteria.